CCUACGGGAUGCUGCAGUGAGGAAUAUUUGUCAAUGGGCGCGAGCCUGAACCAGCCAAGUAGCGUGAAGGAUGACUGCCCUACGGGUUGUAAACCUCUUUUAUAAAGGAGUAAAGUGAGGAGCUAGUGCCUUUUUGUAUAUACUUUACUAACAAGGUUCGGCUAACUCCGUUCCAGCAGCCGCGGUAAUACGGAGGAUGCGAGCGUUGUCCGGAUUUAUUGGGUUGAAAGGGAGCGUAGAUGGGUUGUUAAGUCAGUUGUGAAAGGGUGCGGCUCAACCGGAAAAUUGCAAUUGAUACUGGCAGUCUUGAGUACAGUUGAGGUAGGCGGAAUUCGUGGUGUAGCGGUGAAAUGCUUAGAUAUCACGAAGAACACCGAUGGCGAAGGCAGCUUACUAAACUGCCACUGACAUUGAUGCUCGAAAGUGUGGGUAUCAAACAGGAUUAGAUACCCGGGUAGUC
Molecule: ribosomal RNA, 460 nt
Filed under: uncultured bacterium
Lineage: Bacteria
Description: partial 16S ribosomal RNA
Rfam family: Bacterial small subunit ribosomal RNA
Source: RNAcentral